CCUACGGGAGGCAGCAGUGGGGAAUUUUCCGCAAUGGGCGAAAGCCUGACGGAGCAAUACCGCGUGAGGGAGGAAGGCUCUUGGGUUGUAAACCUCUUUUUUCAGGGAAGAUAAUGACGGUACCUGAGGAAUAAGCAUCGGCUAACUCCGUGCCAGCAGCCGCGGUAAUACGGAGGAUGCAAGCGUUAUCCGGAAUGAUUGGGCGUAAAGCGUCCGCAGGUGGUUUUAAAAGUCUGUUGUUAAAGCGUGAGGCUUAACCUCAUAAGGGCAAUGGAAACUGUAAGACUAGAGUACGUUCGGGGCAAGGGGAAUUCCCAGUGUAGCGGUGAAAUGCGUAGAGAUUGGGAAGAACACCGGUGGCGAAAGCGCCUUGCUAGGCCGUAACUGACACUGAGGGACGAAAGCUAGGGGAGCGAAUGGGAUUAGAUACCCCAGUAGUCCUAGCCGUAAACGAUGGAUACUAGGCGUUGUCUGUAUCGACCCGGACAGUGCCGUAGCUAACGCGUUAAGUAUCCCGCCUGGGGAUACGCACGCAAGUGUGAAACUUAAGGAAUUGACGGCNGAGACUGCACGACGACACGAGGGAGAG
RNAcentral lists this ribosomal RNA (589 nucleotides) under uncultured bacterium. Its description in RNAcentral is "bacterial SSU rRNA". It matches the Rfam family "Bacterial small subunit ribosomal RNA", at positions 338 to 943 of the family's 1533-position model. The record is from RNAcentral.